This 442-nucleotide ribosomal RNA is filed under the name Bacillus sp. R-42277. RNAcentral describes it as "bacterial SSU rRNA". It matches the Rfam family "Bacterial small subunit ribosomal RNA", at positions 28 to 460 of the family's 1533-position model. The record is from RNAcentral. Lineage: Bacteria; Bacillati; Bacillota; Bacilli; Caryophanales; Bacillaceae.
GACGAACGCUGGCGGCGUGCCUAAUACAUGCAAGUCGAGCGAAUCGAUGGGAGCUUGCUCCCUGAGAUUAGCGGCGGACGGGUGAGUAACACGUGGGCAACCUGCCUAUAAGACUGGGAUAACUUCGGGAAACCGGAGCUAAUACCGGAUACGUUCUUUUCUCGCAUGAGAGAAGAUGGAAAGACGGUUUACGCUGUCACUUAUAGAUGGGCCCGCGGCGCAUUAGCUAGUUGGUGAGGUAAUGGCUCACCAAGGCGACGAUGCGUAGCCGACCUGAGAGGGUGAUCGGCCACACUGGGACUGAGACACGGCCCAGACUCCUACGGGAGGCAGCAGUAGGGAAUCUUCCGCAAUGGACGAAAGUCUGACGGAGCAACGCCGCGUGAACGAAGAAGGCCUUCGGGUCGUAAAGUUCUGUUGUUAGGGAAGAACAAGUACCAGA